Molecule: ribosomal RNA, 693 nt
Filed under: Phlegmacium balteatum var. praestantoides
Lineage: Eukaryota; Fungi; Basidiomycota; Agaricomycetes; Agaricales; Cortinariaceae
Description: eukaryotic LSU rRNA
Rfam family: 5.8S ribosomal RNA (bases 296-449)
Source: RNAcentral
UAGAGGAAGUAAAAGUCGUAACAAGGUUUCCGUAGGUGAACCUGCGGAAGGAUCAUUAUUGAAAUAAACUGAUGAGUUGCUGCUGGUUCUCUAGGGAGCAUGUGCACGCUUGUCAUCUUUAUAUCUCCACCUGUGCACCUUUUGURGACCUGGAUAUCUGUCUGAAUGCUAGCCAUUCAGGAUUGAGGAUUGACUUUCAUGUCUUUUCCUUACAUUUCCAGGCCUAUGUUUCUUCAUAUACCCCAAUGUAUGUCAUAGAAUGUAAUCAAUGGCCUUUGUGCCUAUAAACCUAUACAACUUUCAGCAACGGAUCUCUUGGCUCUCGCAUCGAUGAAGAACGCAGCGAAAUGCGAUAAGUAAUGUGAAUUGCAGAAUUCAGUGAAUCAUCGAAUCUUUGAACGCACCUUGCGCUCCUUGGUAUUCCGAGGAGCAUGCCUGUUUGAGUGUCAUUAAUAUAUCAACCUCUUCAGCUUUUGCUUGUUGAGUGUUGGAUGUGGGGGUCUUUUUUUGCUGGUCUUCUCAGGUCAGCUCCCCUGAAAUGCAUUAGCGGAACAAUUUGUGGACCGUUCAUUGGUGUGAUAAUUAUCUACGCUAUUGACGUGAAGCAGUUCAGCUUCAAACAGUCCAUUGACUUGGACAAAUUUUUAUUAAUGUGACCUCAAAUCAGGUAGGACUACCCGCUGAACUUAAGCA